This 470-nucleotide long non-coding RNA is filed under the name Homo sapiens (human). RNAcentral's name for it is "HSALNT0271893". The record is from RNAcentral. Lineage: Eukaryota; Metazoa; Chordata; Mammalia; Primates; Hominidae.
AAGGAAUCUUCAUUUUAUUCAAGUUAAUCUUAUAUGAAGCAUCAUGAAAUAGAAUGAAAAUGGUCAAAGCUCAUCUGAUUGCAACAGAAUUCAGGCCAAGAGCCACCAAAGAACUGAUGUCUGCCAAAACCCAUAUGAAGGAUCUUGCAUACAGGUUCACAAGCCUCAUUUGAGCUUUGAGGUGUCAGACUCACCAGCUAACAGUUUGGGCGCAAUCUCUUAGUUUCCAGAGCCAGAAGUUCUCACGUAAGCUACUCCAAGAAUUUCAAUCUUGACCCACAGAAACUGUUUUUACUCCUGGGUCUGAAAAAGUCAUCAAAUCUUGGUAAUUCUUAGACACUGACAUCAGUCAAAGCCUCAUCUGCAGACCUAGGAGAAGGUGAUAAUAAAAAUGAACUGCUUUUGUGAGACACGGGGCCAGAAAUUAAAACUGUUCAAUUGCUCUAGGCCCAAGCAUUAUUUCAGAAGAG